RNAcentral lists this ribosomal RNA (408 nucleotides) under uncultured bacterium. RNAcentral's name for it is "partial 16S ribosomal RNA". It matches the Rfam family "Bacterial small subunit ribosomal RNA", at positions 28 to 526 of the family's 1533-position model. The record is from RNAcentral.
GACGAACGCUGGCGGCGUGCUUAACACAUGCAAGUCGAACGAAGUGGCGAACGGGUGAGUAACGCGUAAUCAACCUGCCCUUCAGAGGGGGACAACAGUUGGAAACGACUGCUAAUACCGCCUACUGAAGGUGGGGAUUGCGUCUGAUUCGCUAGUUGGCGGGGUAACGGCCGACCAAGGCGAUGAUCAGUCGCCGGUCUGGGAGGAUGGACGGCCACAUUGGGACUGAGACACGGCCCAGACUCCUACGGGAGGCAGCAGGGGGGAAUCUUCCGCAAUUGACGAAAGUCUGACGGAGCAACGCCGCGUUAGUGAUGACGGCCUUCGGGUUGUAAAGCUCUGUUAAUCGGGACGCGGUACCGGAAUAGAAAGCCACGGCUAACUACGUGCCAGCAGCCGCGGUAAUUC